Vigna radiata var. radiata (mung bean) is the source of this 1863-nucleotide RNA transcript. RefSeq lists it as uncharacterized. The transcript is spliced from 9 exons. The record is from RefSeq and is a predicted model, not a curated record. Lineage: Eukaryota; Viridiplantae; Streptophyta; Magnoliopsida; Fabales; Fabaceae.
UUCCCGCUUUAAUUCUGGUUUCUGGGCAUAGUGUGCGAGCAACUCCACAUUGAGGUGUGGCAGGAGUGGUGUAGGAGAAGGAUUGUUCGUGCAAGAAAACGCAAUGCAAGCUGCAUCAUCAGGCAUCUCGUAACCCUUAGAUUUCUUACGCUCUCAUUUGCAAGAAGUUUGGUAAUUUGAAAGCACCAUUCUAGAAGCUACAUCCAUGGUUUGGUGCGGAAUAACUGAAACAGAGAGAACAAUCCACUAAUGGCUGAUUCCACUUCGACUGCAACUCCUUCAAACGACACCGAAUCAUGCGUUUUCCAUCGAACGGUCACUUUAUAUGAUUGGUGGUUGAUUAAAGCCACAAACGACUUCCAAGGAAAGCGUUUAGCCGUUGCAGGCGUCUCAUCGAGAAAGGAUGAGGCAAUGCGCGUGUUUGUUUCUGCUCCCGUUAUCGAAAGAUACGACAUGUUUUCUCUCAAGACUGCGGAUGGGAUAUACCUUUUAAUUAGUGGCUUCAUCAACGAGCAGCGCAGUUUUGAAAACGGUUUCGACCCUCAGGUUUUGGACCGAUUUUUAUUUGGCUUCCCUCUGGACUGGGAAAGCCACGCUCUAGAUUUCUCCAAAGAAGAAUCAAUUACGGGGAAUGAUUUGGGUAGUGCUUGUCUUGAUGACGUACCGGCUAGCUGUCCAGAAAUUUUAUCUGAUGUUGCAAUCGCAGGUGUGGAAAAUUGCAUUCCUACUUUUUCUGCAUCAUCGGAAAAGGCGCAGGGUGAUCAUGAAAAGGCAUUCCCUGAAAAUGAAUGCAACGUGUCAAAGGAGGUGGCUGGUGUUAAGGUUACUUCUAGUAGAGCUAGGGAAAGACGAAGUGCCAAGUUGCAUGAUGUUGAAGUAUACCAGGGGAAGAAACCGUCUUCUUCUGGAUUGCCUCCGAAGAAUCCAAAUAAUAAGAACCAUAUUUCAGUGGCGGCCUUAGAUAAUUGUGAUGAAGCGGGACCAAAAAGUCCGGAAACACCUAUUCAGUCACAACCAUGGAGACAACUAGGCUCAUCAUCUGAACAGAUAGUCAAAAAAUCUGCCUCCGUAAUUUCUAGAACAUUGUCACCAAGGACCGAAGGCUGUCAUAAGAAAAAAGUCGGCAGGCCUAAGGGACCACGGAAUAAAUCUGCUUCUGCUGGGAAAAGUUCGCGAUUAAGAGAUCCAAGUUACUUGACCAAGGGAAGCGGACAGAAAAAAUCAACUGUUUCUCCCGAGUCAUCGAGUUUCAGAACAUCCAGAUCUGGCAGAUUGCUUGUACCUCCCUUAGAAUUUUGGCGCAAUCAAAUACCAAUAUAUGAUGCGGAUCAUGUGCUCAAAGAAAUUAAGGAUGGUGCAUCUUUGAUAUCACCUUGUAGGGUUUCUUCAUCAUCAUCGAGCAGGAAGGACUGACUUUGAUUGAGGUGGGAAUGUUGCUGAUGAAGUACAGAAUGAUUAACUGUAGCUGCUUAGAGCCGCUCACCUGUUUCUCUCAUUCUCUCUUCAUCUUUCUUUUCUUUUUUGUGACAUUCGUUUCCUCCCUUCCUCUAUUUUUUUUUCCUUCCAUGCCUGCAUUGUGUGUUUCCAUUCUAAUGUGUUUGAGGUUCAAGUGCGCUGUGAUUUUGGUAUGUUUUGUGCUGUGGUGAUGUAUGUUGCCUAUUGUGUCCAUGAAAUCACAUAAACUAGAAGGCAAAGACAAACAUAGAAGAUCCGUUUGACCUUGAACAAAUGUUAACAUCCGUUGAUUUAGGUUCUCUUCAAUAGGAUCCAUUGCAUGCCUGCCCCCACACUCAGAUUCUCCUUCGCCAUGGCCACCCCUACAACAUGUCAUUUUUUCUAAUAUUUUUCGCAUCAAUAUUUAUA